RNAcentral lists this ribosomal RNA (467 nucleotides) under uncultured bacterium. RNAcentral's name for it is "partial 16S ribosomal RNA". It matches the Rfam family "Bacterial small subunit ribosomal RNA", at positions 28 to 507 of the family's 1533-position model. The record is from RNAcentral.
GAUGAACGCUGGCGGCGCGCCUAACACAUGCAAGUCGAACGAUUAAAGCACCUUCGGUUGUGUAUAAAGUGGCGAACGACUGAGGAACACGUGGGCAACCUGCCCCUUUCAUUGGGAUAGCCACGGGAAAGCGUGGAGAAUACCGAGUAAUUGGAGGCUUCGGCCUGGGAGACUCGAUGAAUCUCCGGCGGCGCGGGAUGGGCCGGCGGCCUGCUAGCUUGUUGGUGGGGUAACGGCCUACCAAGGCAAUGAUGGGUAGCUGGGUUGAGAGACCGACCAGCCAGAUUGGGACUGAGACACGGCCCAGACUCCUACGGGAGGCAGCAGUGGGGAAUCUUGCACAAUGGGCGAAAGCCUGAUGCAGCGACGCCGCGUGCGGGAUGACGGCCUUCGGGUUGUAACCCGCUUUCAGCAGGGACGAGGCGAAAGUGACGGUACCUGCAGAAGAAGCCCCGGCUACCUACGUG